RNAcentral lists this ribosomal RNA (271 nucleotides) under uncultured prokaryote. RNAcentral describes it as "partial 16S ribosomal RNA". It matches the Rfam family "Bacterial small subunit ribosomal RNA", at positions 505 to 775 of the family's 1533-position model. The record is from RNAcentral.
GUGUCAGCCGCCGCGGUAAUACGUAGAGUGCAAGCGUUGUCCGGAAUUAUUGGGCGUAAAGGGUACGCAGGCGGAUAAUCAAGUCAAGCGUGAAAGGUGUCGGCUCAACCGACAGACUGCGUUUGAAACUGGUUAUCUUGAGUGUAACGGAGGAGAGUGGAAUUCCUAGUGUAGUGGUGAAAUACGUAGAGAUUAGGAAGAACACCAGUGGCGAAGGCGACUCUCUGGGUUAACACUGACGCUGAGGUACGAGAGCUGGGGGAGCGAACAG